Molecule: ribosomal RNA, 491 nt
Filed under: uncultured bacterium
Lineage: Bacteria
Description: partial 16S ribosomal RNA
Rfam family: Bacterial small subunit ribosomal RNA
Source: RNAcentral
AGUGAACGCUGGGGGAGGCCUAACACAUGCAAGUCGAACGGCAGCACAGUAAGAGCUUGCUCUUACGGGUGGCGAGUGGCGGACGGGUGAGGAAUACAUCGGAAUCUACUUUUUCGUGGGGGAUAACGUAGGGAAACUUACGCUAAUACCGCAUACGACCUACGGGUGAAAGCAGGGGAUCUUCGGACCUUGCGCGAUUGAAUGAGCCGAUGUCGGAUUAGCUAGUUGGCGGGGUAAAGGCCCACCAAGGCGACGAUCCGUAGCUGGUCUGAGAGGAUGAUCAGCCACACUGGAACUGAGACACGGUCCAGACUCCUACGUGAGGCAGCAGUGGGGAAUAUUGGACAAUGGGCGCAAGCCUGAUCCAGCCAUACCGCGUGGGUGAAGAAGGCCUUCGGGUUGUAAAGCCCUUUUGUUGGGAAAGAAAAGCAGCAGGUUACUAUCCCGCUGUUCUGACGGUACCCAAAGAAUAAGCACCGGCUAACUUCGUG